Molecule: long non-coding RNA, 585 nt
Filed under: Homo sapiens (human)
Lineage: Eukaryota; Metazoa; Chordata; Mammalia; Primates; Hominidae
Description: non-protein coding lnc-ANKRD10-10:1
Source: RNAcentral
GCCAGGGCUUCUGUUUGGGGGCAAAGUCUGGUUCUCGUCCCCAUUUGCUGGAGCUUCCUGGGCCAAGUUCUACAGCGGCAUGGCGGGGUCAUAUGGAGAUCAGAGGCAGAAGGAGGGACAGACAGGCCUCCCCAAGGCCCCUUAGUCACAGGGACCAGGUCACUACAACCGGCAUCCCCAGGGCAUCGGCGUGUGCAAGUGACCGGCUGGAGCCUGCAAAGUGCAAACGUGCACGAGAGAAACUCCGACUUCAAGGAGGGACGCGAGCGCGGAGGGAGAGGACGGGACCCGAAUGGUUUCGGCGGAGCGCAAGGCGAGCGCAGAGGGAGAGGAUGAGAACCGAAUGGUUCCGGCGCAGUGCAGGGCACGAGGAAGAACGUAAUGCAGGCGUGAGGGAUCAGGAUGGGAGAAGCCAACCCUGAUGUCAGGGAUGCAACCACGGGCCUGAGGCACAGCGCUGUGAAAUGAUGCUCCAGAAUGGGAGACAUUGGAAAGGAGAAUAAGAAGAGCGACCACCCGAUAUAGCAGCUCCAGCCUGAAGUUCCCUUCUUCUAUUUUAAACACUUUUUCCUUCUCUGCGCUCGA